GGUUCAAUAGAUUAGUGACUAUCACGCUCGCCUUACACGCGGCAGGUCCUGGGUUCGAACCCCAGUUGAACCA
This 73-nucleotide transfer RNA is filed under the name Lingula anatina. It matches the Rfam family "tRNA". From Rfam's summary of the family: Transfer RNA (tRNA) molecules are approximately 80 nucleotides in length. Their secondary structure includes four short double-helical elements and three loops (D, anti-codon, and T loops). Lineage: Eukaryota; Metazoa; Brachiopoda; Lingulata; Lingulida; Lingulidae. The record is from Rfam by way of RNAcentral.